AUUUGUCAGCCGUCAUCACGUAAAAACGAUGAAUCAAAGAAUUCAACUUUAUAUAUAACUAAUAUAGUACAAUGCUGAUGAUUAAAAAUUGCACCACUCCAGACCCUUUUGUUUUCCACAUAAUUAAUAUUGGCAAUAAUUAUAAGUUCCGGGUCGAAUCCGAUACCGAUACCAAUAGUAUAUUCAUCUGUUACCUAUUACCUUAUCUGUACGUUCCGCAUCUGACAGGCGCACCACCAA
This 240-nucleotide long non-coding RNA is filed under the name Mytilus galloprovincialis (Mediterranean mussel). The record is from RNAcentral. Lineage: Eukaryota; Metazoa; Mollusca; Bivalvia; Mytilida; Mytilidae.